This 77-nucleotide transfer RNA is filed under the name Deltaproteobacteria bacterium. RNAcentral's name for it is "tRNA-Arg". It matches the Rfam family "tRNA". Rfam says of the family: Transfer RNA (tRNA) molecules are approximately 80 nucleotides in length. Their secondary structure includes four short double-helical elements and three loops (D, anti-codon, and T loops). The record is from RNAcentral. Lineage: Bacteria; Pseudomonadati; Myxococcota; Myxococcia. RNAcentral also lists the same sequence under 1 other name.
GCCCCCGUAGCUCAGUAGGAUAGAGCAACGGAUUCCUAAUCCGUGUGUCGCGUGUUCGAAUCACGCCGGGGGUACCA